GCAAAUCAUUGGCCCAACAUAAAUAACAGAUUCCGCCAACAACAUGAGGAUAAUCAGUAUUGCAGAACAUGUUUUAUGAAUUGCUUUCUUCAACCAAAGUAGAGUGCAGGCUCCAAAAGAUGGCGGAGGCGUUACUAUGGGGCGAUGUUUUUCUACCGGAGAAAACAACUUCUGGAUUGGAGAAAGAGCCCGCUUCAUAAAAGAAGCGAAUGUAUCAUCUCCUAUCAGGUUGAACAGCCUGUUGUAAGUUCAAGUUAGAGCGAUGAUUAGCCAUUUUUUUUAUCACAUGGUAAGAUUAAGCAUAUAUAUAAUAUGCAUUGAAUAACUUUAUUUUUGUCGUAUUGCUGUUUUGUACAUCUCAAUUUGUAUACGUGCUGAUUAUAAAUAAAGCUGUAUGAAGUAACAUUCAAGCGGACAAUAUGUUGCACUGUUUGCACUUUGCAGGCCAUGGAUGAAAAUCAGUACUAACUAACAUUUUAAUUACGGAACAUGAAG
Molecule: long non-coding RNA, 495 nt
Filed under: Brachypodium distachyon (stiff brome)
Lineage: Eukaryota; Viridiplantae; Streptophyta; Magnoliopsida; Poales; Poaceae
Description: long non-coding RNA (BDIS_LNC002842)
Source: RNAcentral